Molecule: ribosomal RNA, 453 nt
Filed under: uncultured bacterium
Lineage: Bacteria
Description: bacterial SSU rRNA
Rfam family: Bacterial small subunit ribosomal RNA
Source: RNAcentral
AUUGAACGCUGGCGGCAUGCCUUACACAUGCAAGUCGAACGGCAGCACGGGAGCAAUCCUGGUGGCGAGUGGCGAACGGGUGAGUAAUAUAUCGGAACGUGCCCAGUAAUGGGGGAUAGCCCGGCGAAAGCCGGAUUAAUACCGCAUACGACCUACGGGUGAAAGCGGGGGAUCGCAAGACCUCGCGUUAUUGGAGCGGCCGAUAUCAGAUUAGCUUGUUGGCGGGGUAAAAGCCCACCAAGGCGACGAUCUGUAGCUGGUCUGAGAGGACGACCAGCCACACUGGGACUGAGACACGGCCCAGACUCCUACGGGAGGCAGCAGUGGGGAAUUUUGGACAAUGGGCGCAAGCCUGAUCCAGCCAUGCCGCGUGUGGGAAGAAGGCCUCGGUGUAACACUUUGUCAGGGAAGGAAACGGACGUCUUACUAAUAUUAGUAGCUAAUGACGGUACC